CAUAAAUAAGCAUAUUUAAAUCUAAACAGAAGAAUCCCCAGGCAAGGUCAUAGUCCGUUUGAAUAUUUAUGUACAUAUUCAUUUCAAUGCAUUAAAAAAUAACCUGCAAAAGCAUAGUCUGGAACGUAGCACUUCCAUAAUAGGUAUAUCCAUGUUGCCAAGCAAAGACCAAAGCUGCAGGUUCAGUUCUUGCUUGCUUGUAAAUGGGACUUAAAACUCGAGCUUGAUAUUUAAUUUGAACCUUCCUCAGUGAAGUCUUGAGUGCG
Molecule: long non-coding RNA, 266 nt
Organism: Telopea speciosissima
Lineage: Eukaryota; Viridiplantae; Streptophyta; Magnoliopsida; Proteales; Proteaceae
Exons: 3
Source: RefSeq, a predicted model, not a curated record